GGGUGCAAUUUGCCGGCUAGAGGCAGGGACCUCCCACCCCCGGCUCGGCUCUCCUUCCCCCGGCCCGGGUGCAGCCCGCGGUACGUACCUGGCAAAGUCUGGCCAGAGCGCUCACUUGCAUGGAGACCGUCGGGAAAGGCGGAGAGAUGGGAGCCACUGAGAAAGCCAGCCCCGAGCCAAGGGGCCAGAGCUACCGGGGCUUCCCCCUCCGCCGCCAAGCACCACCAGCAACAAGUUCCAGGGUGGGGGGAGGAAGCAGCGUAAUCGCGCCUGGCAAGUUAAUGCAGCGCGUCUUUCCCGAGGAGCAGAGCUUGCGGCGGGGUGGCCCCUGUCAGGAGGGAGUCGCGCCGCUGCCCAUGCCGCCGGGCUGCUGAGGGGCUGCAGAUGGCCGCGGACUGGAUGGGGAAGACGCACUGGCGAGGCAGAGGGCACAGCAGGGUUUCUCUCUCCUGCCCCUCCAGUGGGUGGGCCAUGCCUCGCCAAGCUGGGAGAGGAGCGACUGCUGCUGCGGCUGCAGGUUGUUAUUUUCCAGGCGGCUGCUUCUCCUUUCCGCUCCUGCAAAUGCCACCGAAGGAAGCAGCCCGACGAGGUGGCGUGAAGGAGGAGGACAUCGAUCCGAGAGAGGAACAAAGAGAAUUACAAAUCGUUACACGCCGGGUUGCGGUGCAGGCGAGGACAUGGGGUGGCGUGUGGAUGACGAGAAGUUAAUUCCUCACCUUUCCUAAAACUGCCCUGCUGUAGGGACCGAGGGAGAGAAGCAAUCUGCACCCAACUAAUCGUUCUUAUUAGAAGAUCUAAUUAGAACCAAAAUUACCAAUGGGGAAAGAUAUGUCCAGUAAUUAGAAAAAUCCAUCGGGUUUUUAUUUUGUAAUCGCUACAGUAGUUUUUAAGAGUGUGGCUUUUUUAAAAACAGAGAAUGUAAAUUUAGGCAAAUUGUGCAUCUUUCAGUAAAAAGUACAGAAGUUAGUGAUAUGGUUUCCUAAAUUUGAAAUUCUGUUUUACUAGUAUCUUGUAAGCAAAACGAAUGCUUUGUAUUUCAGAAUUAAAAUACUUAAAAUAAUCAGUCUUUUAAACUGAGUUUGCAAAAAGGUUGUUAUUUCUCUUCUUCACUCAUGUUUGAUUUGGCUUAGUAAUAACAUGAAGAUCUAUAAAUCUAUCAUAUAGUAAUUUGCCUCCUUCACAUUUCAGUAUCUGAAACAGUGCCUUUUUAGCUAAUUCUUUCACUGUUGUUAUAUCUCUGGACACUGCCUUAGAAGUCUGGCUUAUAAGAAGGAGAGACAAAUCACCACAUCUGGCAAAUCAUUAAAAAGUAGGAAGUAUAGCAAAGUCUAAAACGGUGUAUAUACUGUACUUUUAAGUGGACUUGGAUGUUUUUAAAUAGUAUGGUUAACUUUUAACAUUUAAAACUGUAUUGUUUUGGAUUCCUAUUGAGUACUCUAGCAUGAAAAAUCUACACGUUCCCCUGAGAGAGAUUUGAAAAAAGUGAGUUUUCUACAUAAAUUAAGAUCUAAGGAUCAUGAAGUGUAUAACCCAUCUAAUUUCUAAAUUAGGAGAACUUUGGAUCAGGAGCAUCAAAUCAAGCUUGCUAAAAUAAUGUUAAAGGAAAAGGAGCCCUUCCAUUAUUUUAUUAGAAGUGUUAUGAUUCAUAUCUAAACGCUCAGUAUAUUAAUCCUACAUUUUUCUGUUGUCAGCAACAUGUAUGCAGAAG
Molecule: long non-coding RNA, 1708 nt
Organism: Chrysemys picta bellii (western painted turtle)
Lineage: Eukaryota; Metazoa; Chordata; Testudines; Emydidae
Source: Ensembl